AAAAAAAUUACAUUGUCAGGGAGAUACAGUGAAGUUGCAGGGAGUGACCCGGAACCAAAAAACAGCUGCAUUUAUUUUGAUUCUAUUUUUAAAACCCUAUGUCUUUUUCUUUAGGGUUAGCCAUGGAAUCAUACUUCAAGGCCACCUGGCCUCUGCUUGAGUGUCUCCUCUGGUUUCAGUUCAUUGUCAUGAAGCAAAGAAGCUGACAGGAAAUCUGCUUCAGGCAGAGAUUGAAACCAGGUUUAUGGUUAGCUUCUUACAUCAAUGGAAACAACUUUGCAGUAACUGGAAAGAAUCUUUAAGUGUAGCCUAUCAAAUAACCAACUGUCAAGCCCUUUUGUCAAAUAGCUAAUGAAAUAAAUUUUCAGGAGUUGCAAAGAAGCCAUUAUUUUGAGAAAAACUGUGUGCUAUGAGGGUCUUUGCUGUGGCAGGCCUGAGCCUUCUCAGCUUGCUUUGGGGAAGACUAGCUCAAGGUGCUCUGUUAUGACCAUGCUCUAAU
Molecule: long non-coding RNA, 499 nt
Filed under: Homo sapiens (human)
Lineage: Eukaryota; Metazoa; Chordata; Mammalia; Primates; Hominidae
Description: HSALNT0146333
Source: RNAcentral